GGAGGAGUAGGAGAGGAAGAAAGAGGGAAAUUCAAUCCACCCCCAUGGCCACUUGAUAUGAAUAAUUUCUCUCAACUUGGCCUUGUUUUAAAUGAGAAAUUUUGAGGUAGAGGUUUUGUGAGUCUCUUGCAGUGAUUUGGUGUCAUGCAGAUACACCAACACAUAUGCACACACACACCCCAUUUUGCUUAAUCUUUUUGUUAUUUAAUUUUGAUUUUUCUGUCUUGAAACUUUUUUCCAGAUUUUGCUGAAUGCUUUUUUGAGCAUUUAAUGAAAUUUCAGAAAAUGGAAAAUUGAUGUGUGAGAGAGAGAAAGGCCUACGGCACUGUGGACCCAAUCCUUAGACACAUAACGACAUGAAAUGUGUGUAAGCAACAUGAAAUGAAAC
This 388-nucleotide long non-coding RNA is filed under the name Phaseolus vulgaris (common bean). RNAcentral's name for it is "long non-coding RNA (PVUL_LNC003745)". Lineage: Eukaryota; Viridiplantae; Streptophyta; Magnoliopsida; Fabales; Fabaceae. The record is from RNAcentral.